This 61-nucleotide ribosomal RNA is filed under the name Hypericum canariense var. canariense. RNAcentral describes it as "partial 26S ribosomal RNA". It matches the Rfam family "Eukaryotic large subunit ribosomal RNA", at positions 1 to 58 of the family's 3401-position model. The record is from RNAcentral. Lineage: Eukaryota; Viridiplantae; Streptophyta; Magnoliopsida; Malpighiales; Hypericaceae.
AAGUGACCCCAGGUCAGGCGGGACUACCCGCUGAAUUUAAGCAUAUCAAUAAGCGGAGGAA